AUUGCAGGCUGCAACUCGCCUGCAUGAAGGAGGAAUCGCUAGUAAUCGCCGGUCAGCAUACGGCGGUGAAUUCGUUCCCGGGCCUUGUACACACCGCCCGUCACACCAUGGAGGCUGGUCACGCCCGAAGUCAUUACCUCAACCGCAAGGAGGGGGAUGCCUAAGGCAGGGCUAGUGACUGGGGUGAAGUCGUAACAAGGUAGCCGUACCGGAAGGUGUGGCUGGAUCACCUCCUUAAAGGGAGACCUAAUUCCGGUGGGAGACGAAAAAAAGUAGUCCCAACCAAGAAUCAAUCCCAAAAGGUCGGAGCGAGGCGAAAUUGGCUUUCAAACUAGGUUCUGGGUUCACACAAGACCUGAAUCAGGAACAAGGGCUAUUAGCUCAGGUGGUUAGAGCGCACCCCUGAUAAGGGUGAGGUCCCUGGUUCGAGUCCAGGAUGGCCCACCUGCACAGGUGGCAAAAACAAAGAAAAAAAGCUCCGAAUCAGCACCUUAUCUUACUUAUACAGUAAGAGAGAAUGCUGGCUCUGAGUUCAGAGUCCAGAGGAACCUUGAAAACUGCAUAGAGCUAGGUGAAAAAGCCAAAAAAGAAGACCGCAAGGUCAAGCUAAUAAGGGCUAACGGUGGAUACCUAGGCACACAGAGG
Molecule: small RNA, 645 nt
Filed under: Microcystis panniformis 2B5
Lineage: Bacteria; Bacillati; Cyanobacteriota; Cyanophyceae; Chroococcales; Microcystaceae
Description: bacterial LSU rRNA
Rfam family: Bacterial small subunit ribosomal RNA (bases 1-237)
Source: RNAcentral